This 286-nucleotide long non-coding RNA is filed under the name Elaeis guineensis (African oil palm). RNAcentral describes it as "long non-coding RNA (EGUI_LNC001123)". Lineage: Eukaryota; Viridiplantae; Streptophyta; Magnoliopsida; Arecales; Arecaceae. The record is from RNAcentral.
GCCACCUCCUUUCUUACGGACUGAGGCAAGGGUUUUAGUUCUGGUUCUGACCAUUAGAUUGCUGAUUAACUCAUAUACUGAGCAUCUCCACACUCUGUAUAGACUUUCUUGCCUAUUUGUUGAAGAUAAUUUCUUGACCAUCUCUUAAAAAAGAUCCUGCUUGUGGCUACGUUUUUGUCAACUUUAGAAUCCUAGAUACACUUGUUUUACCCCAGCCAAUCGAUGAAAGAGUUACCUUGUAAACAAGGCCAAUCCCACCCUCUCCAUGUCCAUGAUCUCCAGGGAA